Molecule: unclassified non-coding RNA, 209 nt
Filed under: Hevea brasiliensis (rubber tree)
Lineage: Eukaryota; Viridiplantae; Streptophyta; Magnoliopsida; Malpighiales; Euphorbiaceae
Source: RNAcentral
GAACAACUGAUCACCCAGAAGCAGGAAAUAGUGGAAAAGUGUGAAUUAGAAAAUAUAGUCCUCCCCACUAUCUCAGACCCCAUGGAGACUGAAUCCUUGACUCCUGGCCCAGUUUUUGAUUUUAGCCAGCUGAUUAAAUCCUAUGAACUGGAUAAGAAAUCAUCUGAUAGAGAUAAACUUGAGACAAAGUUUAAACGUGAGAUAGAUGC